AGAGAGUAGCAUUCCGCUAUUCCUGUUACGACAAACGCACAAACGAAAACAAAAUGACCAAUACAAAAUGAACAAACCACAAGCAGAAACAAAAGAAAACACACAGAUUUACGUGAAAAAUUUUUUACAGGAAAAAAUCACGGGCGAGGGAGGAGAGGACCUCACUAUCGAACAAAAAAGGAAAUACAAUGUUCAAAUAGUACAACCAACCACGAUUUUACACCUCUAGGGCAAAAAAAAAUAAAAAGGAAAACUCUUAACGAGUUUUGGAUCCGAUCCAUACCGUGCCUGAGCCCUCCGCUACCCACCACAGACAUUCAUUUUUUCUUUACAAUUUUACUUUCCAAUUUGAUCGCAUCGCAAAACUAUUGACGAGUCGAAAAUCCAAACUUGAGUUAAUUAUUAAUUUCGAGUCACAUCUAACAAUCCCAAU
Molecule: long non-coding RNA, 433 nt
Filed under: Ananas comosus (pineapple)
Lineage: Eukaryota; Viridiplantae; Streptophyta; Magnoliopsida; Poales; Bromeliaceae
Description: long non-coding RNA (ACOM_LNC044858)
Source: RNAcentral